Molecule: non-coding RNA, 1445 nt
Organism: Podarcis lilfordi (Lilford's wall lizard)
Lineage: Eukaryota; Metazoa; Chordata; Lepidosauria; Squamata; Lacertidae
Source: the annotation of a GenBank genome assembly
UUCUCUGAUGCUAUGAUUCUAUGAAGAAAGCACAGGUGGCUUUGGAGGAAUCAAGACCGAGGUUGGUGGAGCAGUGCUCCAUUUGCUGUAAUGGCCCAGUCUUCACUGCUCAAGGUCCUCCACCUUCUAAUGGAAUUACACUGUUCUGAAAGCAACUCUGGGAAGAACUGCAUACUUGUAGGAGUGAUAUUGCAAGGUGAGGGUCAUCAGUACACUGGAAACAUUAACAUGGAGCGAGGGUGGUUGGGGCCUGAGUAACAAGUAUCUUGUGAGCUUUUACGUUGCAUGGAAGUUUCCUUGACAGGCAAGGCUUGUUCUUAAGUUUGCUCUUAAGCACUUUGGGCUAAACAAGCUUCCUAGGCCUGGAAUAAGGCGUACACAUCUCAGGGUACACAGAGAUCUGAACGAAGAGCUUCCUGUUUGCUGAGACAUGCUUGAACAUUCUGUCUGUGUAGAACACCCUCGCAUCUAGUCCUUUCCAAAAUAAGCACUUGGAUUCUUAAGACUCUUAAUACAUCCCCCUCAUGCUUAUUUUGGUUUUCAAAAGAUGUUUACUUGCAGAAGCGACUUUCCCACCAACGAGGCAGCCCUUCUCCAACUGAAAUCAACCGACCCAACUCCCCAUUGAUGGUGUCAUUUAUUUUGUUUUCCUAGAGCACAAUCUUCCCCAGAAGAAGAAUUCAGUGAAACUUAAAAGGCUGCACACUUGCAAGAAGAUGCGGAUGUGAAAAGCACAACUCGAGGAUUAAUUGGGGAACAGAAGGGUUGUUGCUUCAACCAUUUCUGACAGGCUCUUGUGCAGUCAAAGUUUCAGAGGUUGCAUUCAUCUUUAUAGUUAGGCAGCAAUGAAUCAAAUUCUAUCCCACACUUUUCUGUGCAUGGAAGAAGCUUGAACCUUAUUUAUAAGUUGAUUUACUUUAUUCCCCUUUCCUAUACAGUUGUCUUUUCCCCAUCCUUAAAGUUAUUCUGUGGUUUGUCACACUGGAUUCCAGCAACAUGAGACAGAAAGCCAUUCCCUCUGGACUAUGAGCACUGUAGUUUACUCCUCACAGAGAGAACAAUUCCCAGCAGCUCUUAAACCACAGUGCCUGGAAUUCUCUGCUCUGAAGGAAAUGAUAUGCUCCAAAGGUAUAGUGUGUACACAGCUUUAGUAAUGAAAGUCAAAAGCAGAUAUAAGUGCCUGUAAAAGGGCUGAAACAAAACCCUUUAACAGGGCUGAAUAAAAUUAGAUCUGUAUGUAGUUUUUCUCCCUUGCAAAGCAUCCUUCAGAGGGCAAUUUUGAGGGAGUAGGGUGUUAGAAUUCCUGCUCCGUGACUGCAGUCAUAGGAUUGUUGUCUAUCCCCAGGAGGGAGGGAACAUGCCAGUCAGGCAUGUGUCUCUGCCAGGGUCCUACUCAAGUGUAGGACAAGCUCCUGACAAAGGGUGCUUCAUCUUUUCCUUACCAA